Molecule: long non-coding RNA, 313 nt
Filed under: Elaeis guineensis (African oil palm)
Lineage: Eukaryota; Viridiplantae; Streptophyta; Magnoliopsida; Arecales; Arecaceae
Description: long non-coding RNA (EGUI_LNC063453)
Source: RNAcentral
CAUCUUCAACGUUAAGGAAUUGCUCACUCUUUCAAAAUUUUCUACUUAUCUGCAGUCCUUUCAACGAAUUGCAUAUAUUAAUAGGACUUUCGGUAUCCAAUACCUAGGUAGUAGUAUCACAAAUAGAGAAAUUAUAAGGUGUUACAUAUAAAUACCUUGUGAAGCAACCACUUGUCUUUUUCUUUUAUUCUUAGGUCUGUUUGGAUCAAGGAUGGCUAUAUAAGCAGGAUAAUUUCUUUUUUAAUAACCCAGCUUUUUACAGAAGAAGCACUCUGCCUGGCUCUUGUCAACUUUUAACGGUUUGCUCUGCCUG